This 111-nucleotide ribosomal RNA is filed under the name Bacteroidales bacterium. The record is from RNAcentral. Lineage: Bacteria; Pseudomonadati; Bacteroidota; Bacteroidia; Bacteroidales.
UAAGGUGGCUAUUGCGAAGAGGCUACACCCGAUCCCAUUCCGAACUCGGAAGUUAAGCUCUUCAGCGCCGAUGGUACUGCGUAGAAGUGGGAGAGUAGGUCGCCGCCAACC